RNAcentral lists this transfer RNA (74 nucleotides) under Loxodonta africana (African savanna elephant). It matches the Rfam family "tRNA". Rfam says of the family: Transfer RNA (tRNA) molecules are approximately 80 nucleotides in length. The record is from Rfam by way of RNAcentral. Lineage: Eukaryota; Metazoa; Chordata; Mammalia; Proboscidea; Elephantidae.
CCCUGGGUGGUGCAAAUAUUUAAUAUACUUGGCUGCUAACCAAAAGGUUGGUGGUUCAAGUCCACCCAGAGGCA